UACGUAGGGGGCGAGCGUUGUCCGGAUUUAUUGGGCGUAAAGAGCUCGUAGGCGGUUCGGUAAGUCAGGUGUAAAAACUCCAGGCUCAACUUGGAGAGGCCACCUGAUACUGCCGUGACUAGAGUCCGGUAGAGGAGCACGGAAUUCCUGGUGUAGCGGUGAAAUGCGCAGAUAUCAGGAGGAACACCAGCGGCGAAGGCGGUGCUCUGGGCCGGAACUGACGCUGAGGAGCGAAAGCGUGGGGAGCGAACAGG
This 254-nucleotide ribosomal RNA is filed under the name uncultured bacterium. RNAcentral's name for it is "partial 16S ribosomal RNA". It matches the Rfam family "Bacterial small subunit ribosomal RNA", at positions 524 to 776 of the family's 1533-position model. The record is from RNAcentral.